This 840-nucleotide ribosomal RNA is filed under the name Cytospora leucostoma. RNAcentral describes it as "partial large subunit ribosomal RNA". It matches the Rfam family "Eukaryotic large subunit ribosomal RNA", at positions 68 to 938 of the family's 3401-position model. Lineage: Eukaryota; Fungi; Ascomycota; Sordariomycetes; Diaporthales; Cytosporaceae. The record is from RNAcentral.
ACAGGGAUUGCCCUAGUAACGGCGAGUGAAGCGGCAACAGCUCAAAUUUGAAAGCUGGCUCCGGCCCGCAUUGUAAUUUGCAGAGGAUGCUUUUGGCGAGGUGCCUUCCGAGUUCCCUGGAACGGGACGCCAUAGAGGGUGAGAGCCCCGUAUGGAUGGACACCAGACCUGUGUAAAGCUCCUUCAACGAGUCGAGUAGUUUGGGAAUGCUGCUCUAAAUGGGAGGUAAAUCUCUUCUAAAGCUAAAUACCGGCCAGAGACCGAUAGCGCACAAGUAGAGUGAUCGAAAGAUGAAAAGCACCUUGAAAAGGGGGUUAAACAGUACGUGAAAUUGUUGAAAGGGAAGCAUUUAUGACCAGACUUGCGCCGGGCAGCUCAUCAGGGGUUCUCCCCUGUGCACUCUGCCCGGCUCAGGCCAGCAUCGGUUCUCGUGGGAGGAUAAGAACAGUGGGAACGUGGCCCCCCUCCGGGGGGGUGUUAUAGCCCAUUGUACGAUACUCUCGUGGGGACCGAGGUUCGCGCUCCGCAAGGAUGCUGGCGUAAUGGUCAUCAAUGACCCGUCUUGAAACACGGACCAAGGAGUCGUCCAUUAGAGCGAGCGUUUGGGUGUAAAACCCGCACGCGUAAUGAAAGUGAACGCAGGUGAGAGCUUCGGCGCAUCAUCGACCGAUCCUGAUGUCUUCGGAUGGAUUUGAGUAAGAGUUUUAACGGACGGACCCGAAAGACAGUGAACUAUGCUUGUAUAGGGUGAAGCCAGAGGAAACUCUGGUGGAGGCUCGCAGCGGUUCUGACGUGCAAAUCGAUCGUCAAAUAUGAGCAUGGGGGCGAAAGACUAAUCGA